This 536-nucleotide ribosomal RNA is filed under the name uncultured bacterium. RNAcentral's name for it is "bacterial SSU rRNA". It matches the Rfam family "Bacterial small subunit ribosomal RNA", at positions 8 to 526 of the family's 1533-position model. The record is from RNAcentral.
AGAGUUUGAUCCUGGCUCAGAAUCAACGCUGGCGGCGUGCCUAACACAUGCAAGUCGAACGCGACUGGGGCUUCGGCCUCAGUUGAGUGGCGAACGGGUGAGUAACACGUGGGUGACCUACCUUCGAGUGGGGGAUAACAUCCCGAAAGGGAUGCUAAUACCGCAUAACAUCCUGCCUUUGAACAGGCGGAGAUCAAAGCCGGGGAUCGCAAGACCUGGCGCUUGUUGAGGGGCCCGCGUCCGAUUAGCUAGUUGGUGAGGUAAUGGCUCACCAAGGCAACGAUCGGUAGCCGGCCUGAGAGGGCGGACGGCCACACUGGGACUGAGACACGGCCCAGACUCCUACGGGAGGCAGCAGUGGGGAAUUGUUCGCAAUGGGCGCAAGCCUGACGACGCAACGCCGCGUGGAGGAUGAAGGUCUUCGGAUUGUAAACUCCUGUUGCCCGGGACGAAUGACUCCGACCUAACACGUCGGAGUAUGACGGUACCGGGUGAGGAAGCCCCGGCUAACUCUGUGCCAGCCGCCGCGGUAAUAC